This 440-nucleotide ribosomal RNA is filed under the name uncultured bacterium. RNAcentral describes it as "partial 16S ribosomal RNA". It matches the Rfam family "Bacterial small subunit ribosomal RNA", at positions 338 to 795 of the family's 1533-position model. The record is from RNAcentral.
CCUACGGGAGGCAGCAGUAGGGAAUAUUGCUCAAUGGGGGAAACCCUGAAGCAGCAACGCCGCGUGGAGGAUGAAGGUUUUAGGAUUGUAAACUCCUUUUGUUAGAGAAGAUUAUGACGGUAUCUAACGAAUAAGCACCGGCUAACUCCGUGCCAGCAGCCGCGGUAAUACGGAGGGUGCAAGCGUUAUUCGGAAUCACUGGGCGUUAAGAGUGCGUAGGCGGGGUAAUAAGUCAGAUGUGAAAUCCUGUAGCUUAACUACAGAACUGCAUUUGGAACUGUUACUCUGGAGUGUGGGAAAGGUAGGUGGAAUUCGUGGUGUAGUGGUAAAAUGCGUAGAGAUCAAGAGGAAUACUCAUUGCGAAGGCGACCUGCUGGAACAUUACUGACGCUGAUGCACGAAAGCGUGGGGAGCAAACAGGAUUAGAUACCCCAGUAGUC